This 73-nucleotide transfer RNA is filed under the name Junco hyemalis (dark-eyed junco). It matches the Rfam family "tRNA". Rfam says of the family: Transfer RNA (tRNA) molecules are approximately 80 nucleotides in length. Their secondary structure includes four short double-helical elements and three loops (D, anti-codon, and T loops). Further hydrogen bonds mediate the characteristic L-shaped molecular structure. tRNAs have two regions of fundamental functional importance: the anti-codon, which is responsible for specific mRNA codon recognition, and the 3' end, to which the tRNAs corresponding amino acid is attached (by aminoacyl-tRNA synthetases). tRNAs cope with the degeneracy of the genetic code in two manners: having more than one tRNA (with a specific anti-codon) for a particular amino acid; and 'wobble' base-pairing, i.e. permitting non-standard base-pairing at the 3rd anti-codon position. Lineage: Eukaryota; Metazoa; Chordata; Aves; Passeriformes; Passerellidae. The record is from Rfam by way of RNAcentral.
GGACCGAUAGCUCAAUGGUUAGAGUCCCCGGCCCAUAACCGGGUCGUUACAGGUUCGAAUCCUGUUCGGUCCA